This 28-nucleotide non-coding RNA is filed under the name Mus musculus (house mouse). Lineage: Eukaryota; Metazoa; Chordata; Mammalia; Rodentia; Muridae. The record is from RNAcentral.
UGAGUAUUUGAGCUUACUGCUGUGCACC